This 2064-nucleotide long non-coding RNA is filed under the name Bos taurus (domestic cattle). RNAcentral's name for it is "long non-coding RNA NONBTAT025956". Lineage: Eukaryota; Metazoa; Chordata; Mammalia; Artiodactyla; Bovidae. The record is from RNAcentral.
UCUCAACUAUUCAGUCAUCUAGAAAGACAUUGCCAUGCUGCUUUACAUUUCUAAAAGAAUGUUAGGAGGCCUGGAAGUCUUUGGGAACAGACUUCAUAAUUUUGCUGGUAAGAAUUUGGCAAGAUCGCAGUGUGCCACAUAGCAUGUUUAGGCAUCUUUCAUGUCAUAGAAUCAAACCUCAAUGGACCAGGGAAUUCCUGUGUUCAGAGCUAAUGGUUUUGCUGCUGCUGUUGCAGGAAUCAUCUUGCCAGGGGAAAUGCCACUCUCCUAAUUAAACCUCUGGGGUUUCAGAAUUAACUCUCAUCACCACUGUCAAGAUACAGUACAGAUUAUUUUAGUGUGGCGCUCAAGACUAUAUCAAAGCUAUAUCUCAUUUCACCUGAAAACUAAGAAAAAGAUACUAGUGAGCCAUGGAGAUAAACAUAAUGUGAGUAGUUAACUCGGUCAUAAAAAAUGGUGUUUUUAGCCUUAGCUGAUUAGGACUCCUUCUCUAGCACUUACCUCCUUUAUAUCAUUUUUACGUCUCUAAGAAAUGUAAGAAAUAAACAUGAUCGUUGAAAGAGUUGGGACGAGAGAGGCCGCAAGAUGGGGGAUAGGCUUUGGAAAGGUAAAUCAUUUGCAGGAUUCACAUUGCUUUUAAAGGGUACAGUUGAGAAUGGAAUCAAAGAUUUCUUAAUUCAAACACUGUUUUCUCUAUAACCUCUUUCCUGCUAAAAAGGAGGUGAAUUUGAAGGCAUAUCUGUGUAUCAAGUCAGAAAAAGCAUGGGUGGGGGGCAGUAAUCACCACAGAAGUCACUUCUAGGGCUUAAUUUUCAGGUUUCUUCUUUGUUCUAGGCAGCAAAUAGCCAAUAAACGGUACUGAGAAUAGAACUUCAUUUAACCUAGGUGUUCAUCACACCACAAUUGUAUUGAAGCAGGUCAAAGGAAAAAUUAACAAGUAGUUUAACAUGAAGAAGUGAAUACUAUUUGAUCAUGGCUGUUCAGACUUAAUGAAUAACAGAGACUGGGUUUUGAGUUGAUAAUAUGUAAGGUUCUCACAUUAACAUUCUCUUAAAAAGGGACAACUGGAAUUGUCUUAUUUUUUAAAUCGUUGCUUAACAGUUGGUAUCUUUCCUAGGCUGGCAGUGGAGUUGGUUGAAUAAUCUUGACAGUGAGCAGCUGGCGUCCUGGGGAUUUCAUUCUGGGGUUUUUAUUUUUAAUCUUUCCUUGAUGCUCCCACACCAGCCUUUUUAUUGUGUCCUUGCCGUUUAUUUCAUUACUGUUCUGUAAGGCGUUACCAUUCACUACAGAGUAUUUUUAGGCACAGACUUUAUAAUUUGGCAUUGAACCCAAUUAAAUUCCUUUUUACAACAUAAUCUUCCUAGACUUCUUGCCUAUUUAAAAAAAAUUGUUGCAAUAAAUUACUGAAACUGGGACAUCUGCCCAAGCGACUCCUAUAAAAGUUUAAAGUUGUUGAAGUUCAAGACACUUAAAAUUCUCCUGACCUGUGUAUAAGUAAUAAGCAAAGUAAUGUAUAAAAACAUUUCUUUUGUAAUAAAGUAAUUAUAUGAAAAAGGAAAGCUGCAAAAAUUGCUUACUGAAUCUUACUGGAUGACUAGCAAUGAACAAAAACUGUUUAUUUGAAGUGAUAAUUUGUACUGAAAUUGUAAAAAACACCUAUUAAAUGUUUUGUCUUUUUUUUUUUUUUUAAAGAAAAUGUUUGGCUUUGUUCUUUUCAGAUAUGAGGAGAAGCUUGGGAUAUCUUCAGCCAGCGUUUUAUUCUGGCUGAAAUGUGAUUAUUAGUUAUUCCUCCGAGUUUCUGUUUCUUUUCUCAACCAUCAAACUAAGUUGAAGCAGCAUAAAAGUAAUAGCUUGGUUAAGAAUUUACAAGUUGAAUGCUGCUGGCCGGGCUUACUGCCAGAACAUUAAUAACUUUAUGCUGUAAUAUUGAGAGAUGCUAAGAUUCAUGUUCUAUAGGAUCUUAUAGGAUCUUCUAUAGGAUCAGAUUGCUGAAGUGAUUUGAGUCCAUUAUUGCAUGGAGACAGGCGAAAGGAGUCUUCCGGUUCUGUCUAGGUUUGUUUUUAG